CACACCGCCCGUCACACCAUGGGAGUUGGUUCUACUUGAAGCCGGUGCGCUAACCCAACCGCAAGGAGGGAGGCGCCAACGGUCUGGUCGAUGAUUGGGGUG
RNAcentral lists this ribosomal RNA (102 nucleotides) under uncultured bacterium. RNAcentral's name for it is "partial 16S ribosomal RNA". The record is from RNAcentral.